UCUCUUUUUAGUGCUCCUCACCUCAUUUGCUCUUUACUGAGCUUAAAAAAUAGUCUUAAAAAGCCUCCACUAUUUUGACAUCUUUUUAAGUUGAUUUGAUCUCAGCUCAAACGCGGCUAAGUAUGGCGGAAUCCAUGGGGGUUCCGGCGACCGAUACAGACCUUGUGACUUACGGUUUUGAGGCCGAGGCUGCUGGUGAUUCGGCUCAUCCCUCAGUGACAUCUCAUCACACUGCAGCACAGUGCUGCUCCUCCGUCCUUUAUCUUGGUUUUUAGGGAGAUUAAGUCCUGUGGAUUUGUCUUAUGCUUCCUGACGUAGUUUGUCCUUUCGCCAUUUGUCCUGUGCAAUGUGUGAAACAGACGUCUGCCGAGCUGACACCUAGACAGGUGAUCGACACACUUGGAGUCAUUGAAGAUGCAAGGAAAACUGGUGUGCACUCUACCAUCCUGAGGAACAGUUGAGAUUAAAGACCUCAGGAGCACGGGCAGAGGGAGGCACCUUCUGAAGUCUUCUACACAAAGCUUUUCUGGAAACUGUGAUGACAGCUACUGGUGGGAAAAAAUCACCAGCAACCACAGUCAUUUCCCUGCUGCCAGGUAACUGGCUGGCACCUGAACCACUUCUUAUGGCAGACUCCCGUCGACUCGUUUGUUCUCUCUUGCUCAUUUGAUAUAGAUAGGGCAUUAUCGCUGUUUCACAUCUCUUGCUUUGGAUAGAGAGAAAAGUUCAUUUUUUUUUUCUUUUUCCUUUUGAGACAGGGUCUCACUAUGUAGCCCAGGUUGGCCUGGAACUUGUUAUCUGUAGACCAGGUUAACCUCCCGUUCCCAGAAAUAUUGCUCUCUUGCCUCUGCCUCCUGAGAGCUGGGGUUAUAGUGCACCAUCAUGUUCCACUAAGAAGUUUGUUUCGUUUUGUUUGUCAAGACAGGGUUUCUCUGUGUAACAGCUUUGCCUAUCCUGGAACUCACUUCAUAGACCAGGCUGACCUCGAACUCACAGAGAUUCACCUGCCUCUGUCCCCUAAGUUCCCAAGGGCUGGAACUAAAAGGAGAAGCUCAUUUUCAAAGAGCAGAGAAAUGAUAAGCCACAGUCUCGAUAUAAACUAAAGAUCUUGUUGAAGAAUAAAGAGCCCUGGACAGGAGACCAAGGCCACAAAGAAGACAAAGUUAGUUGAAUGAGAAACCUUGUCCUCAGCUGUCGGGAAGGCUGCCUGCCAGCAAGAAGCCCUCAACUGUCAGUCCACUAUAGUGGUUACCUCAGCUUGGCGAAGAUCACUCCCUUUCCUCCUGGUGGCCUGUAUCCAAAGACUAAUGAACGUGGGUGUAUAAAGGCCCAGCCCUUUGCCCGAAUUCAGAAAAUCUUGAAGGUUAUCCAGGUCCAUUGCUUUUUAGAGGACCAACUGAGCCCUCUGAGGUAUUAUAGCUCUCUUCUCCUGUUUCAGACUUUUACACUUUUUCUUUCCUUUCUUUCCUUUUAGACAUGGUCUCACUCCAAAGCCCAGGCUGGUCUGGAGCUCACAGAUGCCUGCUGCAUUCCGCUCUGUGUGUGUGUCUGGAGCAGGGGUGGGGGCAGGACAUGCCACACUUGACUGUGAAGAUCAUAAAAUAACCUCAAGUGUCAGUGCGUCUUUCAUCUUCUCUGAGUCAGGGUUUCAUCCGUUGCUCCUGGCUGCAUAUAGACCAGACUCUCCACCUCAAGAGUUUCUGGGUACUCUCCACCUCAGUAAGACUGGUGGAAUCAUAAUUGGGCUCUAGUUUCUGUGGCUUCUGGAAUUCCAAUUCAGGUUCUCAUCCGCUCACAGCAAGAGAUCUGUCCACUGAACCAUCUCUCAAGCCCAAAGACCACAUCACAGAGAUUUAACCAUCGUUAUGGUUUAGAUACAGUUUCAGUGGGUGCCCUGGGGAGGGGGUUCACGUCCUCAAAGUUUUGUCCACGGUAGCAGUGUGAGUAGUUGAACCUUUCAGGGGUGGAAUCUAGUGAAUGGUGAUUAGGUUAUCAGAGAUACUGUUCUUGGAAGAGAUACAUAAGGUUAUGAAAACAUCCUCAUUAGUUCUUUUAGAAUGAAUCGUUACACAGCAAGGCUACCCAACAUGCUUAGCCCUUUCUGCAUACAGUCUCUUGCCUUUCUGAGUCUCUACCAUGUUGUUACAUAGACAAGGAGGGGGGUUUCAGGCUUGAUGAAGCAGCUUGAUCUUCAGCUCACAGCAUUCACAACUGUGAGCUAAAUAAUCCUGUUUUCUUUCUUUUUUGGGGGGGGAUUCGAGAGAGGGUUUCUCUGUA
This is a non-coding RNA of Myodes glareolus (Bank vole), 2277 nucleotides long. The record is from RefSeq and is a predicted model, not a curated record. Lineage: Eukaryota; Metazoa; Chordata; Mammalia; Rodentia; Cricetidae.